UUAAGCGACUAAGCGUACACGGUGGAUGCCCUGGCAGUCAGAGGCGAUGAAGGACGUGCUAAUCUGCGAUAAGCGUCGGUAAGGUGAUAUGAACCGUUAUAACCGGCGAUUUCCGAAUGGGGAAACCCAGUGUGUUUCGACACACUAUCAUUAACUGAAUCCAUAGGUUAAUGAGGCGAACCGGGGGAACUGAAACAUCUAAGUACCCCGAGGAAAAGAAAUCAACCGAGAUUCCCCCAGUAGCGGCGAGCGAACGGGGAGCAGCCCAGAGCCUGAAUCAGUGUGUGUGUUAGUGGAAGCGUCUGGAAAGGCGCGCGAUACAGGGUGACAGCCCCGUACACAAAAAUGCACAUGCUGUGAGCUCGAUGAGUAGGGCGGGACACGUGGUAUCCUGUCUGAAUAUGGGGGGACCAUCCUCCAAGGCUAAAUACUCCUGACUGACCGAUAGUGAACCAGUACCGUGAGGGAAAGGCGAAAAGAACCCCGGCGAGGGGAGUGAAAAAGAACCUGAAACCGUGUACGUACAAGCAGUGGGAGCACGCUUAGGCGUGUGACUGCGUACCUUUUGUAUAAUGGGUCAGCGACUUAUAUUCUGUAGCAAGGUUAACCGAAUAGGGGAGCCGAAGGGAAACCGAGUCUUAACUGGGCGUUAAGUUGCAGGGUAUAGACCCGAAACCCGGUGAUCUAGCCAUGGGCAGGUUGAAGGUUGGGUAACACUAACUGGAGGACCGAACCGACUAAUGUUGAAAAAUUAGCGGAUGACUUGUGGCUGGGGGUGAAAGGCCAAUCAAACCGGGAGAUAGCUGGUUCUCCCCGAAAGCUAUUUAGGUAGCGCCUCGUGAAUUCAUCUCCGGGGGUAGAGCACUGUUUCGGCAAGGGGGUCAUCCCGACUUACCAACCCGAUGCAAACUGCGAAUACCGGAGAAUGUUAUCACGGGAGACACACGGCGGGUGCUAACGUCCGUCGUGAAGAGGGAAACAACCCAGACCGCCAGCUAAGGUCCCAAAGUCAUGGUUAAGUGGGAAACGAUGUGGGAAGGCCCAGACAGCCAGGAUGUUGGCUUAGAAGCAGCCAUCAUUUAAAGAAAGCGUAAUAGCUCACUGGUCGAGUCGGCCUGCGCGGAAGAUGUAACGGGGCUAAACCAUGCACCGAAGCUGCGGCAGCGACGCUUAUGCGUUGUUGGGUAGGGGAGCGUUCUGUAAGCCUGCGAAGGUGUGCUGUGAGGCAUGCUGGAGGUAUCAGAAGUGCGAAUGCUGACAUAAGUAACGAUAAAGCGGGUGAAAAGCCCGCUCGCCGGAAGACCAAGGGUUCCUGUCCAACGUUAAUCGGGGCAGGGUGAGUCGACCCCUAAGGCGAGGCCGAAAGGCGUAGUCGAUGGGAAACAGGUUAAUAUUCCUGUACUUGGUGUUACUGCGAAGGGGGGACGGAGAAGGCUAUGUUGGCCGGGCGACGGUUGUCCCGGUUUAAGCGUGUAGGCUGGUUUUCCAGGCAAAUCCGGAAAAUCAAGGCUGAGGCGUGAUGACGAGGCACUACGGUGCUGAAGCAACAAAUGCCCUGCUUCCAGGAAAAGCCUCUAAGCAUCAGGUAACAUCAAAUCGUACCCCAAACCGACACAGGUGGUCAGGUAGAGAAUACCAAGGCGCUUGAGAGAACUCGGGUGAAGGAACUAGGCAAAAUGGUGCCGUAACUUCGGGAGAAGGCACGCUGAUAUGUAGGUGAAGUCCCUCGCGGAUGGAGCUGAAAUCAGUCGAAGAUACCAGCUGGCUGCAACUGUUUAUUAAAAACACAGCACUGUGCAAACACGAAAGUGGACGUAUACGGUGUGACGCCUGCCCGGUGCCGGAAGGUUAAUUGAUGGGGUUAGCCGCAAGGCGAAGCUCUUGAUCGAAGCCCGGUAAACGGCGGCCGUAACUAUAACGGUCCUAAGGUAGCGAAAUUCCUUGUCGGGUAAGUUCCGACCUGCACGAAUGGCGUAAUGAUGGCCAGGCUGUCUCCACCCGAGACUCAGUGAAAUUGAACUCGCUGUGAAGAUGCAGUGUACCCGCGGCAAGACGGAAAGACCCCGUGAACCUUUACUAUAGCUUGACACUGAACAUUGAGCCUUGAUGUGUAGGAUAGGUGGGAGGCUUUGAAGUGUGGACGCCAGUCUGCAUGGAGCCGACCUUGAAAUACCACCCUUUAAUGUUUGAUGUUCUAACGUUGACCCGUAAUCCGGGUUGCGGACAGUGUCUGGUGGGUAGUUUGACUGGGGCGGUCUCCUCCUAAAGAGUAACGGAGGAGCACGAAGGUUGGCUAAUCCUGGUCGGACAUCAGGAGGUUAGUGCAAUGGCAUAAGCCAGCUUGACUGCGAGCGUGACGGCGCGAGCAGGUGCGAAAGCAGGUCAUAGUGAUCCGGUGGUUCUGAAUGGAAGGGCCAUCGCUCAACGGAUAAAAGGUACUCCGGGGAUAACAGGCUGAUACCGCCCAAGAGUUCAUAUCGACGGCGGUGUUUGGCACCUCGAUGUCGGCUCAUCACAUCCUGGGGCUGAAGUAGGUCCCAAGGGUAUGGCUGUUCGCCAUUUAAAGUGGUACGCGAGCUGGGUUUAGAACGUCGUGAGACAGUUCGGUCCCUAUCUGCCGUGGGCGCUGGAGAACUGAGGGGGGCUGCUCCUAGUACGAGAGGACCGGAGUGGACGCAUCACUGGUGUUCGGGUUGUCAUGCCAAUGGCACUGCCCGGUAGCUAAAUGCGGAAGAGAUAAGUGCUGAAAGCAUCUAAGCACGAAACUUGCCCCGAGAUGAGUUCUCCCUGACUCCUUGAGAGUCCUGAAGGAACGUUGAAGACGACGACGUUGAUAGGCCGGGUGUGUAAGCGCAGCGAUGCGUUGAGCUAACCGGUACUAAUGAACCGUGAGGCUUAACCUU
Molecule: ribosomal RNA, 2903 nt
Filed under: Escherichia coli
Lineage: Bacteria; Pseudomonadati; Pseudomonadota; Gammaproteobacteria; Enterobacterales; Enterobacteriaceae
Description: bacterial LSU rRNA
Rfam family: Bacterial large subunit ribosomal RNA
Source: RNAcentral